This 188-nucleotide ribosomal RNA is filed under the name uncultured soil bacterium. RNAcentral describes it as "partial 16S ribosomal RNA". It matches the Rfam family "Bacterial small subunit ribosomal RNA", at positions 323 to 526 of the family's 1533-position model. The record is from RNAcentral.
GAUUGGGCACGGGGGGCCUACGGGAGGCAGCAGUGGGGAAUAUUGGACAAUGGGCGAAAGCCUGAUCCAGCAAUGCCGCGUGAGUGAUGAAGGCCUUAGGGUUGUAAAGCUCUUUUACCCGGGAUGAUAAUGACAGUACCGGGAGAAUAAGCCCCGGCUAACUCCGUGCCAGCAGCCGCGGUAAUAAU